RNAcentral lists this ribosomal RNA (253 nucleotides) under uncultured bacterium. RNAcentral's name for it is "partial 16S ribosomal RNA". It matches the Rfam family "Bacterial small subunit ribosomal RNA", at positions 524 to 776 of the family's 1533-position model. The record is from RNAcentral.
UACGAAGGGUGCAAGCGUUACUCGGAAUUACUGGGCGUAAAGCGUGCGUAGGUGGUUCGUUAAGUCUGUCGUGAAAGCCCCGGGCUCAACCUGGGAAUGGCGAUGGAUACUGGCGGGCUAGAGUGCGGUAGAGGAGAGUGGAAUUCCCGGUGUAGCAGUGAAAUGCGUAGAUAUCUGGAGGAACACCGGUGGCGAAGGCGGCAUCCUGGACCGGCAUUGACGCUGAGGCGCGAAAGCCAGGGGAGCAAACGGG